GCCUGUGCUGAAGACCUGUUUCCUAGUCCCUUUACACACUGGAGACUUGUUCCUUACUCUUCUGCCUGGAGGAAAAUCCCUGGACCUGGGGCAGAGAGUACAGCGUGUGCACGCGUGCAGACAUUCCUCACUUCCUACUGCAAAGCCCACCAAGAAGUGAGAUGAUCCACUCUUCUAGUAACGGAGGCACCAACCACAUGAGGCUUAUUCUAAGCAUGGC
RNAcentral lists this long non-coding RNA (220 nucleotides) under Carlito syrichta (Philippine tarsier). RNAcentral describes it as "RNase MRP (ENSTSYG00000027994.1)". It matches the Rfam family "RNase MRP". From Rfam's summary of the family: RNase MRP is an enzymatically active ribonucleoprotein with two distinct roles in eukaryotes. The record is from Rfam by way of RNAcentral. Lineage: Eukaryota; Metazoa; Chordata; Mammalia; Primates; Tarsiidae.